This 354-nucleotide ribosomal RNA is filed under the name uncultured bacterium. RNAcentral describes it as "bacterial SSU rRNA". It matches the Rfam family "Bacterial small subunit ribosomal RNA", at positions 1 to 334 of the family's 1533-position model. The record is from RNAcentral.
CUAGCGACUUCAGAGUUUGAUCCUGGCUCAGGACGAACGCUGGCGGCGUGCCUAACACAUGCAAGUCGAACGGAACUCUUUGGAUCAAGGCUUCGGCCAAGUGAAUUUGAGUUUAGUGGCGAACGGGUGAGUAACGCGUGAGCAACCUGCCUUUCAGAGGGGGACAACAGUUGGAAACGACUGCUAAUACCGCAUAACACAUUUAGGGGGCAUCCCUUGAAUGUCAAAGAUUUAUCGCUGAAAGAUGGGCUCGCGUCUGAUUAGCUAGUUGGUGGGGUAACGGCCCACCAAGGCGACGAUCAGUAGCCGGACUGAGAGGUUGAACGGCCACAUUGGGACUGAGAUACGGCCCAG